This 60-nucleotide microRNA precursor is filed under the name Danio rerio (zebrafish). RNAcentral's name for it is "Dre-Mir-181-P2b2_pre stem-loop". It matches the Rfam family "mir-181 microRNA precursor family", at positions 12 to 73 of the family's 83-position model. From Rfam's summary of the family: In this case the mature sequence comes from the 5' arm of the precursor. The extents of the hairpin precursors are not generally known and are estimated based on hairpin prediction. The record is from RNAcentral. Lineage: Eukaryota; Metazoa; Chordata; Actinopteri; Cypriniformes; Danionidae.
AACAUUCAUUGCUGUCGGUGGGUUUCUAAUAGACACAACUCACUGAUCAAUGAAUGCAAA